Molecule: non-coding RNA, 2049 nt
Organism: Oryza sativa Japonica Group (Japanese rice)
Lineage: Eukaryota; Viridiplantae; Streptophyta; Magnoliopsida; Poales; Poaceae
Source: RefSeq, a predicted model, not a curated record
UGAAAAGGUCAUCAACAUCAAAAUUGUAUAACUCAUCAAUAUGUAUAACUUUUAUUUUGGUCAUUUCUUCAUCCGAUAAAGUGAUAGUAAUAUUAUUCACAAAAUUUACAUAUUUCUUAUAUGGUUUUCAAGUAUUUAAUAUUAUAUUUGCAAAUUGCGACGAAUUGCUAUAACGUCACAGGUUUUGGGCCGGUUUAUGAAGAAAUCGAUAAACAGUAUUAUGGGCCUUGUAUCCAUAGUUGCAUAUCCGUGACGAUCUCUGAAAACAUCAAGAAAAUUUCAUCAAAUUUCGUCACAGAUUAAAUAGAUUCUUGUAGUAACUUCACGUUUGGAAAUGGGUUAAUUCAAUUAUGCCAUUGCAAAUAUAUCAUUUUAGAAAAAUACCAUUACAAUUCGUUUAUUUAUAUUUGUGCAAUUGUAAUUUUACAAUUAGAAUCGUGCCACUACCGUCAAGUUUUUCAUCCAUCUCUUUCCUCCUUCGUUUUCUUCCUUCUCUCUUCCCAUCUUCAUUCUUACCCACCACCAUCGUCCAUCCAUCCAUGGCCGCUGCGAGCAUUGACGGUGCCUGCCGCUGUGAGCUUUUACAGCGCAAGCACCAGGGCACUCGGCAUGCACGCGGAAGCGACAAUGGUGGAGCAAGUGGCAGCGGCGACGAUGGUGGAGCAAGAAGCGGCAACGGUAGAUCUGGUGACGAGGUGCUGUUGGAAUAAAUGGGCUAGGCCCAAUUUAAUUCAAUUAAAAUCUCAAGGGCCCACAAUUAAUGCUAGGGACAAUAAUACCACCUUAGAGAUUAAAAGUGGAGUAUCUCAACUUAAUUCCUUGAUUGAUUACAUUGUUACUGCGGUAACGGAGGCGGAAUCUCAACUUAAUUCUCGUCCACUUCCCCUUCCCUCCUGCGCAUUAUAAGAAUCACAGAGAUGAGACGAGAGGAGGUUUACUCCACGUCCGAUCUCGUUUACUCCUCAUCGUUUACUCUGCGGUGGUUCAUCUUCCAUCUGUUCCUGUGCUGCUUCUGUACUCCUCGAUUCUGAUCGCGUGCACACAAGUGAUCGGGACGAGCAGGGCCUCCGGAACCACGCCUUUGCCUAAGUACCUAUACGGGUAGGCGGGCGAUCAGUUUUUUGGGGAGUGCUUUCGCACGACUGCUCGCGUUUCAUCUUCUUUUCAUGUUCGUCGUCGGCGUCAACUUCAACCAUGUCUACGGAGGCAACAACACCACGAAUAUCAACACCAGCGGAGGCAGUAUUGCCUCAAACACCAGCGGAGGGCCAUUCUCAGGGUGCUCCAGCACCAACACUCAUUUAUGACGCCGCCAUCAUCAUGGAUCCUCGUCGGCUCGUCGUUGCUUGUCUGCUCAUGAUCAGUGACGCUAUCCUGGCCGCACUGCCGCAGGCCGCCUCGCGUGGUGCUGGCGCUAAUCGCAGGGACGAGCAAAGGUUGCCGAGCUCGCCAGCUGCUUGCUACCUGCAAAUAGAGUGAAAAAAAAAGGUGCAAAUAGAGAAGGAAAAAGAAACCGAGUUCUGAAAUUUUAGGAGGCGCAGAUGCCGGAGAUGGUCACGCUGCUGACGGUGACAUAGAAACGCACCCUCCCUGCUGGUUGCCUCAUUUGAAACAAGGUGGAGAGAGAUGGGAAGGAAAAAGAUGGGAGGAUGAAGGAAGAUGGAAAUGACAUGUGGGUCCCACGCUCCCGUGUGCUCAAAACACACGGUAACGACGUUACCAGGUGCUAGUGCACGGGAACAGCUACUCGGCGGCUUCGUCAGUUUACCGUGCGCACUUCCCGGGUGUUUUACGAUUAUGCGCACGGGAAGGCCAAAACACAUACCGUGUGUGAGCACACGGUAAGGCUGCCGUGCGUAGCUGGACUCGUGUAACGGAGCUCCUAACGGACCGGUGGCUUACCGAGUGUCCUUCACACACGGUAACAUUUGGUGUGUUACCGUGUUUCAUUCACCCGGUAACAUGUGGUGCGUUACCGUGUUUGAAGCACCCGGUAAGAGAACAUGUGGUGAUAAAAAAAUAUAUAUGCUAUUUGCAAUUUGUUUACUA